GUGAAUCAUCGAAUUUUUGAACGCAAAUUGCACUCUCUGGUAUUACGGAGAGUAUGUCUGUUUGAGGGUAUGAUUAAAUAAAAAUCGGUGUGGUUGCUGCUUUUCGUGGUGACGCACCGGAUUUGGGUCGUCUUGCCUUCGGUUAAGUGACCUAAAAUUUCGCAUGAUUUUUUUCGAACGUAUUUAAAUGUAUUUACGUACGUUUGUGAUAUCGCAUACUAGGUGUGGUGAUACUCAUAUUUCGC
This 245-nucleotide unclassified non-coding RNA is filed under the name Glomus sp. Its description in RNAcentral is "partial contains 5.8S ribosomal RNA and internal transcribed spacer 2". The stretch from base 1 to 71 matches the Rfam family "5.8S ribosomal RNA", at positions 84 to 154 of the family's 154-position model. Lineage: Eukaryota; Fungi; Glomeromycota; Glomeromycetes; Glomerales; Glomeraceae. The record is from RNAcentral.